GCUAGUUUGUGUGUUAGUACCACAAAAUUAACAGUAUUUAUAGUGUGCCCAUUUCGCUUAGUAUUCUUAUUCUAAUUCUUUGAAGGUAUGCUGAGGUUUCAAUUAACUGUUUCUAAUUAAAGAAGCCUGUUUACAUAUACAAACAUGACAUAUGUAUUUAUGUAGUUUGUAAAUUUAAAAACAAAUAACAAUUGUUUGUCUAAAAGGCACAAUUGGUCAUUUUGGUUUUAGAAAGUAUGGACUCGUUUACAAUCGACAGCGAAGAGGCUGUUCGGAUUAUGUGCUUACAAGAACUAAUUGAAAAAAAUAUAGAGAUUGGUAAGUAGACAUUGAAUGUUGAAUGUAAUUAUGUUUGUUUAAUUAAUGAACUCAAUUUGUUUAAUCAGAGCAACAGAUUGAAAAUAAAAAUUUCGACGCUUCAAUAUUGGCUAUAGAAACUAUUAUUAGGCAAUCAAACGAAAUAGCAAAGGGACAAGAAGAACGUCGUACAAAUCCCACAGAGCUUGUACUAGACACUGAGUUGCUAAGGCGCAAUCAUGAAGUGGUUGGAAAGGCUAUACAAUAUAACACAAACUUUACAGAUCAAAUGAUCCUCACAGCUAUUGUAAGUAGAAAAGCAUUCCCAAUUAUAUGAUAGACACAAAAUAACCUGUAAUUUGUAUAAGACUAAUAUAGUUUUCAAAGACAACGAUGAAAAUUGGGACUCUCUUUGCACUGAAGUUAUUAAAUAUGGAAUGCCGCUCUACACGAAUGACAGCAUGAUAGCUUUCAUAGAUGUGGCACCGAAACUUCACAUUCAAAAGAAAUGUGCUCAACGCAAAAGAAAAACUUUGGUAAGUGCAUACAUAUGUAUAUAUUUACGUAUGUACAUAUGUAAUUUUGUACGUCAAAGUAGUAUAUACAAUUUGUCAGGAGUUUAAGUCUGAUCAAUACCUAAAUCGGGCCAUUAUCUAAUUUGUACUUAUGUAGAUAUUUAGAUGUAUUUGGCCUAACAAAGUAAUCUUUAAUUUUUGCAGGUUGAAGAGAAGCGACCAAAAAGAAGUGACAAGCUGCUGCGCAAGGAAGAGGGCUCAGCAUCGGUCAGCAAUACGUUGAAACAAAUCAGACAAAUUUACAGAUCUGGUAACGACCAGCCCAUACCGUAUUUCAAAUUAAUUUGUCACCCUACAAAUUUUAUGGACUCUGUUCAGAAUUCAUUGAAUGUUUCAUUCCUUGUUCAAGAAAAUAUGGUUCAUAUUGAGCCAGGAAAUGAUAAUUUACCACAGAUUCGGUGCGCUGCAAACCCCAGAACAUUAUCUACAAACGGGUCUUCUGCUCAGGCAAUUUGUACCAUUGAUGUCGACUUCUGUCAGGUAUGGUAGCAAAAAAUGCUAACGAAGUUUUAAUAUUAAUUUUAAUUAUUUCACAGAAAAUGGUUAAGCAUUACAACAUACAAGAACCAAUGCUGAAAAGACUGGAAAAACACGAUAGUUUGUCAUAACAAAUCAACACACAUAGAUCUCAUUUCAAAAACAAAAUAUGUUUUUUUUUUUUACAUCAGAAUUAAAUUGGAAAUUAAAGAUUAAUAAUAUUAACACAACUCAACAAAACGAAACUUUUUAUUUAUACAUAAUUAGAUGAACGAUUUUGG
RNAcentral lists this long non-coding RNA (1630 nucleotides) under Drosophila guanche. Lineage: Eukaryota; Metazoa; Arthropoda; Insecta; Diptera; Drosophilidae. The record is from RNAcentral.